Molecule: RNA transcript, 4436 nt
Organism: Triticum aestivum (bread wheat)
Lineage: Eukaryota; Viridiplantae; Streptophyta; Magnoliopsida; Poales; Poaceae
Exons: 2
Source: RefSeq, a predicted model, not a curated record
CCAUCGAUGCCCUGCAGCCGACCGCUCCGGCGUUCUUCCACGCGGGCGAGCAGAGGCACCCCAUGACGCCGCAUCCUCCUCUCCUUCUCCUGGCGUGCGAGGACCUCGACCAAGCCACCUCCAUCGCGACAUCGAUCUGGCCGCCGCCUCACCUGCGUCUCGAUCUAAUCUGGGGAGAGAUGGUGAUGGGUGGGGGCGGCGGAGGUAGGGGAGAGGGUGAGGGAGAUCCGGUGCAGAACUACCACACUGCAGACUUGAGGCGCCCUACCCCGGCCACCUCGACGACUCUGCCUCCUGAAGCACAACCUUCGCCACCUCCCUGCUGCACAGAAGCGACGAUGCCGCCGCCUCUCAACAAUCGACUUCCCGUGCUCCCGCAAAAAAAAACCUUCAGAUAGCGGAGCGGCAUCGCUCCCAUAGUUUUCAACAUCAGGUUGGGGUCUGCACCUUUGCUCCAAAAUUGUGUCAUGCCUGCCAGGUCAUGCAAAGUUAAUCCGAAGUUCCCUCUUGCAUUAUAUUGAUCUCAAAAGAAUAUGUAUUGUAUCAUAAUUAUAGGAUUACUGAUGCAUACCAUUGCGAUUAUUUCAGUGUCGUCACAGGUCCGUUCUCUUUUUCAUGAAGUUGGCUUGGGGCUUUGCCCACAUGACAACUUUUCGUUUGAAAUAUAGAAGAUAUAAAUCAGUGAAGUUGAUGUUAUAAACUCAUGUUUCGGCACUGCACGGAAAACUUUGAGAUCUAUAUUGUCAUCUCAACAGAUGAAGACAUGGAUUACAUAUUAAAAGUGCAUCAAUGUUCUGUCAUUCAACACCAUAUGUCUGGUAUAUCAUUGACAACCAAUGAUUUUUUUAUGGUUGAAAAAUACUUCAUCGCUGCACUAUGAUGGUAAGAUAUGUUUUGUCUUCCUCUAAGGAAACUUCAUACUUCCAACACUAUUUUAUUUCAAACUGGAGGGCUAAAUAAAUAUUGUAUAUAUGUCUUACCAAGACAUUUUCUAAGUAACAUAGUGAGUUCAAAUUGUUUUUUUUUCUGUAACCUUUGAUAGAAGGAUCCACACAUGUUUUGUUUUCUGCGUAUAUAUUUGUGCUACCAGGAUUGCAUUAUAUUUUUCCGAGUCCAGAGAGACGGACCUUGCUCAUGAUGGCAGUGAGUGUUAUGUUUGUUUUACUUGAUAAUCCUUAAUUUUCCAAUUCACAGCUUUGUGUACUGCUGUUAUACACACACUUCCAAAAGAAAGAACAUAUUUUGUUCUUUCUUCUUUUAAAAUUAAAUAUGCUUGAAUUUCCUUUUGUCGAUUUCUAAAAUUACCUUCCUGAUAGUUUCCAUACAUGCAUAUACCCUUUUUGGUCAUUAUAGAAAUAUAUUGUUUUAACGAUGCCUGUUAGCUAUAUGUCGUAUGAUUCCUUUGAUUUUGAGUUGAUAAUUGUGAUGUCAUUUCGUUAUGCGAAAACUGCUCUGCCUUGCACAAGAGGUUCUUAUAUACUCAGGAGAGUACUGAUGGUUAUGCUUGAUUGCGCAUCAAAGGUACAAUAGUUCUCAUGAAUGGUCAUACUCGUCCUCCUCUUGCCCCUGGUCGUCAUUGCCAUCGAUGGGAGACGAGAUCGUCGGCGACGCGCUGCUGGUGUGGGAUUUGGCCCAGGUGAUCUGGGGCACUGCUGCCACUCGUGCGGCAGAACGGCGGCUGCAGCGGUGCGUCUGGGGAGUGAUGCAUAGACCUGGUCUUGUGUUGGGCAGGCAAAGUCGUUCGACGGGAUGCAAAAGUUCUUCAUCCACUUCCAUGGCCCCAACGACAAUACGCCCCCAUGUAAUCUCAUCUCCUGCUCAACUAUUUUGCUUCUUUUCAUUGAUUAUAUAGGUGCAGAUUCAUACAUUAGUUGUUGAUACUAUUUGAAUUCCCUUUGUAUUUACUGUCCUAACACCCAUGAAAUUCACUUUAUGAAAUGUAACCAAGCUGUAUGAUUUUCAGUGCAAGAAUCCAUUAGAAUUCUAUACCUACAGUCAUGCUGAUAUGAUGGAUCUGGAUGAACCAUUUGAUCCCAUGUUUAGUUGACCUAUGGGCAACCCGUUUGGUAUUUUAGACCCAAAUUUUGUUGAGAGAGCCGCUCCUGGUUUCUUUGGUCGGGGAACUCAGGUUACACAUCGUAGGGAUGUGCGGCAGAUACCUAUCACACUAAUAAUCCCCAAACUGGAAGUUCUGGUCGGUGCAGGGUAUUAUCACCUCAUGCCAUUGUCCAUUGUACUUUUAGUUUACUUUUCGCUUCUACUCUAUUUUUUGUACACAUGGACUGCUUAUUGUGUUGUCUUUGAUUAUAAUUUUCUGCAAUAGAAAUAGUCACCACACAUGAUAAUGUACAUCUCUUUUAUAAGAAUGAAAUCUGUAACUCUCCUUUGGAUAAAUGCCUAUGAACAAGUCAUGACUGAACUAUAGUGCAUCCAAUUAGGUCAUGUACCAAACAAGCAAAUCCACUGUCCACUGCUUUGUACAUUAAAACAUUGCUCUUUGUUCUUGUUUUAAUCAGCAAGACAACAAUUCAACAUAAUUGUCUUUCUUUUAGAUGUUAUUGAAACUGCCUAAACACCCUGUGUUGCUACGGAUAUAGAUAGAUACCUACAGCACUCAUAUGCUCAUUUUUAGACAUAGGUGUAAUUAACCAAACUAACGUGACCUUAUUUUAAAUUUUGCUCGAUAUUAAAUUUUCACAGAGAUUUAAUUAAGAUUUAUUAAACCGCUCUUAUAUUAUAUGUUGGUUUGUUCCUUUAUACUCCAGAAGAAAAAAAUAUGACUAACAAAACUCUGUCAAUGAUUUGAAGUAUCAGUUUGCCUGCCUUUUAUUGCACUCACUGGAUAAUUGUCUGCUUUCAAAUUGUUAUGAUCUUUGAUCCAUAUAACUAAGUGAAUGUUCUAUCUUUUCAGCUUCUCCCUAUCUGUGUGUGUGUGUUCUGAUCCAUUUUCAGGAUAGAAAUGUUCCUCGGCACCAUAAAAGCAUCAACGGAGGAACAACCUUUUUUAUUUUCUGUUGCCUCUACUAUAUUGUUGUUGCCACAAGGAUUUACCUGGACACGGAGCCACCAUGAUGUGUUUAAAAAUUAUUACAUUAUCCUUUUCUAACCUGAUGGUGUUAGAAACAUCUUGGCAUUCAAGCAUGAUUAGUUCAUUGUUUAUUAAUUACAAUUAUGUAAAAAAAUCACUGAUCAUCGCUUACAAUUAUAUAGUAGUGAUGAUAUGCUUUCUAUCUGUCCUGAUGAAAUUCAGGAAAUUACUUUGCAAGGAAAAAUAUUAUCUAUAGUUAAAAGAUACAAUUCUUAUUGUGGAGAUCAACAUGUUCUUGUUAUAUCAUUUUGUGCACUACCUACCUCUUGAUAUACAAAUGUAGUAGGGUCAAUAAAUUUUGGAUGAGAAGUGUAUGUUUAGAGUUGGUAAAUAAGUUUACAUACCAUCGACUCUUCAUAAAUCAUGUAUUGUUCCUUGAUUUACUAGAAGAAAAUACUGUAUAUGUCAUGGAGUCAUCUUACUGAAACUUUUCUUCCGCAGAUACUACGAAUUCUUUGUGAGAGGAUGCUUCUGCUGGAGACCUGGAUCCAGUCCAAUGAUUUAUCCGACAAAGAGGCGAGCUCACAUGUAAACAUGUGUUCUUUUAAGACAGUAAGGAAAAACACCCAUCUUCUGAAAUGCUUUCCUCUAUUGUCGUAAUUGAAGGAAAGGUCUAAUGUAUUUCUAGACUUCUUUAUGCAUGUAUUGUGUGAAAAAGAAUGUGUUAAUGUGAUCAGAAUUAUUAAUAGGAAGUGUAUUGUAUCAUUAUUAUAGAACGGAGUUCUGAUUUUAAUAUACACGUUAAGCUCGUGGAAAGGUAAAAAAUAAUUCAACAUUCAAAUUCUUCUUCAUGCCAACCUGAAACUUGGAACACAAUAGAAUUUAGUGAACUCACUCUAAACAAAUUUUGUGAUGGUGUCCGCAUUCACUGGUCGCACAAUGCAGGAGAAGCAUUGUUGGGGGUUCCUCACUGUCACCAAGGGGAUGCAACCUACAUCAAUCGUGCAGAGAGCCACUGAUGUGUCCGUGCCCAUGUUGUGCUUCACCGAGCUUCGGGAAAAAUAAUCUAUUUCUUGGAUUAGUCCAUGCUUACAAGUGAAGAGUAUGUGCUUUGAUAGGAUCUGUAGCUACCGACUUUACAUCGUUUGCUGAUAGUUGUGGCCUGUCAUUACAAUUGUCACAAGGCAGACUUCUAUGUUCUACUUAGCAUAGACUAUUUCAUCGCAUGCCCUUUGACUUUGGAGUCAUGUAACAUAAAGAAUUCAACCUUGAUCUUGCUAGACCUGUCAAUGUAAUGCUAAAGUAGGUCCUGCUCUUGGUAGGUCCCUCUGUUAGAUGUAAACCUGCCUGUAGCUCAAACAAAUAUAUGGAAACCUGCAUUGUUAACGUAUUGUUCUCUCCUUAUGAA